Molecule: non-coding RNA, 1835 nt
Organism: Poecilia reticulata (guppy)
Lineage: Eukaryota; Metazoa; Chordata; Actinopteri; Cyprinodontiformes; Poeciliidae
Source: RefSeq, a predicted model, not a curated record
UUUAAUUUUUAAAUAAAUUACACAUUUCCAUACCUUUUAGAAAAUGAUUAGUAAUAAUGAUAAUAAACAGAAGAAACAGGAUGUGUAUAUGAGGAAAAGCUACUGGUGUUAACAUGAGUAUGAGUGGAUGGUGAGUUAUGUUUGCACAGAGGGGGGUCUCUCUGUUCAGAGGAGUCCUUUACACCGAUGAUUCUUCUGGGAAGAAGGGGGGGGGGGCAUGGGGGAGGAUAGAGGAUGAGAAGGAAGGAUGCUGAGGAAUGUGGAGAGAGGGGAGGAGAGGAUGUGCAACACCGACUGACCCUGGAGGUUGCGUUCCCCUUUAAAAGUCCCAUCCCUCUCAGAUACGCAGAGCUCAUGCAGGAUCUGCUGCGGCAGUGGGGGAACACUGCUGAGCUGUGCAGUUUGUGCUGCCAGUGAGCGUGCAAAGAAGAGGAGGGGGGGAACAAGCGUGCACCGGAGAAAGGAGGAGGAGUAACGGGAGAGAGAGUGCAAACAAUGUCAUUCUGUUCAGGAGGCAGUGCUGCAGUCAACUUUGCCGCGCCAUGAAAGCACAUCACCAGUGACCAGGAGGCUCGCAGAGUGAAGAGAAGUUUUCGUCCUCUCCUCCUUCGCUGUGAUGCGGUGCCUUACUCUUCUGUAGAGUUCCUGUCUGGUCGUCCGCAGCGGGACAAAGACGAAGCUCCAGGCACAGCUCACAGCUCUGCGAGUGUGGCAUCCAAGUGACUUUGCUCUCUCAUUGAUGAGGUCAUCGGCCUUGUUGACGGGCCGCAGCGGAAGGCGACGCCGCUGAUGUGCAGCACGCCACUCUUAGGAGACGCUCAGGUAGCCAAACUCGGGCCAUAUUGUAGCAGGCUCAUGAACCGGGUUCGACCGCUGGUGGCGUGUUGGAACAUGCCUUGACUUGUUGUGCUGUCUGGGUGAAGCACACACAGAAAGAGAGAGAGAGAGAGGAGGCACAGAGAAAGAGAAGAGGCUGGUGGUCAACUGGAACCUUGUGUGAAGUGACCCUGCAGCGCCCUGCACAUUUGGGUGGAUGGAGGAGCUGCGCCGCCGCCACCGCCUUAUUCCCUGGUCUUCCAGUGACUGGCGAAGCAUCCCAACACCAAAAAGCCGGAAAGUGGGAUGCAAACGUCAGCAGUGCCAGACUGAAGGGGUCAAACUGUGCGGCUAAAACCAGCCAAGUUCCUGCUGAGAGUAAGCAGGCGGACAGACGGGUGGACGGACGGUAGGCUGUGGCUGCUGUGGGUGUUUCUCUGGCAGUGUCUUAGCUGGUUGUUGUGAGGAGUGAGAACGAAGCAAUCAGCAAGUAUACUGCCGCAGAAAUUCUUCACAAUAAGAUGCCCUGGGAUCAAUGCUCGUCACGAGGUGCAGAGACUGAACAAAGGCUUUCAUAACGUGGAAAUGGACCCGGGCUGUAAACUCGAAAUGGAAACGGGAUAAUCUGAAGACAGACAGAGAGAGAAAGAGAGAGAGCAUGGCUUUUUUUAUUACCAACAUUUACAUUGGGAUGAAGGCAUCCGAACCGCUGAACUCUAAGCUGUAGUUCCAUGUUCUUCUGCUGCCAUCUUGUGACUGAAAGCAGCCUCUCUGCAUGCUUUUGUUGAUUAAAGUCUGCACCGAUUUACUGAACCUACAUCAGUCUUUUUUUUUUGUUUUUAGCGUCAAAAAAAUGUCUGCACGUCUUAAUAGUGCUAGAUUCCUUUUUUCCAGUGCAUCCUUCUUUGUAACCAAGCUUAAUUUAAUUUUUGAAUAUAUCAAACUUAUUAGCCAAGACAUUUCUCCAUGUUAGAUAUUUAAUUGUAAAAAGGUUGUAAUAAAUGUUUCAUAAUAACUUA